GCCCGGCUAGCUCAAUCGGUAGAGCGUGAGACUCUUACAACACCGAUUCAACGGUGAUAUAGGCAUCUCAAGGCUGCGGGUUCGACCCCCGCGUUGGGCU
Non-coding RNA from Phyllosticta citrichinensis, 100 nucleotides. The record is from the annotation of a GenBank genome assembly. NCBI's taxonomy places the organism in Eukaryota, Fungi, Ascomycota, Dothideomycetes, Botryosphaeriales, Phyllostictaceae.